This is a long non-coding RNA of Folsomia candida, 804 nucleotides long. RefSeq lists it as uncharacterized. NCBI's taxonomy places the organism in Eukaryota, Metazoa, Arthropoda, Collembola, Entomobryomorpha, Isotomidae. The transcript is spliced from 2 exons. The record is from RefSeq and is a predicted model, not a curated record.
AAGAUAAUGUCUGAUGGAUUGUUUGUUUUAGCUAGAUAAUCCUGACUAUGCAAGUUGCACACGACCCACUCAUCUGGGCUCGUGUGAAAUUGUCAGACGUGAAAUUAUUUAUCUGCGCACGAAACUUAUAUUGCACACCACAGGAGUAUAAUAUUGAUAUUUUUAGCGUGGCCUGUAUCUGAGGUUUUUUAUCAUGAUAUUUAUGUCAAAGUCGUAAUGUGUUAAGUUUAAAUGUUUCGGUCAAUCGCAAAAGUGGAUUUUUUUAAACACUGCGACAGUGAUUGAUGCACUUGCUGGCUGGCUUUUACUGGAACAAUAGCUGUGCACAAGUUUUCCCUUCAUUCAUCCUUCAUUAAUUCGGAUUUGAAGAUCGCCAUCCUUCAUUCACCUUCAUUCAAUUUCCCUCACAUCACCUUCAUUUAUCCAUCGUCUCCUGUUCAGAUUCUCCAUAUAUGUAGGAAUCUGAGUUUGUAACAUGGAGAGGAAGUUGACUUUGUUUGUCUGGACAAACGUUUGUGUAUUUAACAUACACGAGUUCGAGUCCAUCCGACCUGCAGUACAAGAGCAGAGACGGACCGGAUACGAAACAACACGUGUUUAUUAUUUUGUCAAGCAGGCUGUUAUGCACUAGCUUGUAUAACAAUUCUCAAUUUGCCUCAAAUGAGACUUGAGAUUGUAACCGUUGUAUUAAAUUGCCCUCAAUAAUUAGUAUCAAAUUGCCCAUAAUAAUUUAACAAGUAUAACGUGUAUCGUGUCUGAAUUAAGAUUAAAUAAAUAACCCCGUUUCUAUUAAUGCGAAAUUAA